CGGCGGACGGGGGAGUAACGCGUGGGUAACCGUACCUCAUACAGGGGGAUAACAGUUGGAAACGGCUGCUAAUACCGCAUAAGCGCACAGUACCGCAUGGUACCGUGUGAAAAACUCCGGUGGUAUGAGAUGGACCCGCGUCUGAUUAGCUAGUUGGUGGGGUAACGGCCUACCAAGGCGACGAUCAGUAGCCGACCUGAGAGGGUGACCGGCCACAUUGGGACUGAGACACGGCCCAA
This 239-nucleotide ribosomal RNA is filed under the name uncultured bacterium. RNAcentral describes it as "partial 16S ribosomal RNA". It matches the Rfam family "Bacterial small subunit ribosomal RNA", at positions 96 to 334 of the family's 1533-position model. The record is from RNAcentral.